GAUGAACGCUGGCGGCGUGCCUAAUACAUGCAAGUCGAGCGAACGGACGAGAAGCUUGCUUUUCUGAUGUUAGCGGCGGACGGGUGAGUAACACGUGGAUAACCUACCUAUAAGACUGGGAUAACUUCGGGAAACCGGAGCUAAUACCGGAUAAUAUUUUGAACCGCAUGGUUCAAAAGUGAAAGACGGUCUUGCUGUCACUUAUAGAUGGAUCCGCGCUGCAUUAGCUAGUUGGUAAGGUAACGGCUUACCAAGGCAACGAUGCAUAGCCGACCCGAGAGGGUGAUCGGCCACACUGGAACUGAGACACGGUCCAGACCCCUACGGGAGGCAGCAGUAGGGAAUCUUCCGCAAUGGGCGAAAGCCUGACGGAGCAACGCCGCGUGAGUGAUGAAGGUCUUCGGAUCGUAAAACUCUGUUAUUAGGGAAGAACAUAUGUGUAAGUAACUGUGCACAUCUUGACGGUACCUAAUCAGAAAGCCACGGCUAACUACGUG
Molecule: ribosomal RNA, 497 nt
Filed under: uncultured bacterium
Lineage: Bacteria
Description: partial 16S ribosomal RNA
Rfam family: Bacterial small subunit ribosomal RNA
Source: RNAcentral